GCCUGCUUCAGAUUGUGUCUCCCUCUCUUUCUGCCCCUCCCCUUCUCGUGCUCUGUCUCUUUCUCAAAAAUAAAUAAAAAUGUCAAAAAUUUUUAAAUGAAUGUUUUGUUCAAAAGUUUUGUUUAUAAUUCCAUGAGAAUACAACGAAUCUGCUUAAAAAAUUAUUCAUUGCAGCAAAUAGCUCAUAGCAACUCAGUUCAACUAGAAACAGUGCAUUCUGCAUAAUAAAUGCCUUCUUUGUACCCACCUCUUCUAACUCUCUAGAGGGCUGCUCCACUUCAGAUGGACAGUACAGUCUUGUGUGGACAGAAAUGCCAAGGAAAAAAUAGAAGGAAGGAACAUGUAGGAGUAGUGAAAUGACAGAGAUGAGGAGCUCUAUGGAAAGCCUCUGCACAUGGGAUGUCACCACUUAUGGACAGAGACUGUUAUAAUAUGUUGAGCACAUGUGGAAGCUCCAAAUGAACAGAAGACCUUUUCAAGUGACAACAUGAAUAUUAUGGACGAGUCUGGGACUCUACAUUCUAGGUUCUGAUCCAAUGUUACUCUUUGCAAUUGUGCAGAGCCUCAAUUCACUCAUUAAAGGAAGACAUAUAUAUCUCAUUAGCUUUACUUAUUCUGACUUGCUAAUUUGUGAGUAUAAAUUAUAUUUUAGUGUAUGUGCUUAUAUUUGUGGAUAUUUUGUUCUUACAGCUUCACUGGCCCACAGCAAUUGUGUUUAAUGAAAAUCAGGUUGGUCUUGGAGUCAGAAAACCUGGUUGGAAUCCUGGUUAAGCCAUAGACCUAGUUGUAUAAUUUUGUACAAUUCUUAUCUAUAAGCCUCAGUUCCCCCAUAGGAAAAAUAGAGAUAAUAUACAUCUUACAGUGUGUUAUGAAGCUUUUAUAAAAUUGUGUACCUCUUCCACAGGACUGCCCAGAAAAAUGAAAGAGAUGAAAGAUAGAAGCUUUGGACAGGGGUGCAGCUAAAACAACAUGGGUUAGCAGGGGUCUCACACUCAAAUACCUACUAGUUCAUACAGGUAAUGUAAAGGUGUGAAGGAGGCAAGUGAGGCUGUGGUGAUUACAGAGUACUGUCCCUGAAAGGCUCAGGCCUUUUAAGCUCCAACUGAUUGCUGCUAUGUAAUAAUGUAGGCUUAGAUUUUCUGAGUUUUAAAGAGAUGACAGGAAUGUGGGUGUUCAUGUUUUAAAACCUUGUUUUCAAAAUGAUGGCAAAUAUUUUAGAAUGUUAAAAGAUUGUUAGACUAAAUAACAUAACUGUGGAAGUAGCUAGUAGGCUACUGGUUUGUUAUCUUUAGGUUUCACUGAAUUUUAGAGGAGGGCUUUAAUUUUUCUUUUCUCCUGGCUGAAUAAUAGGUCCCAUUGGCUGAGGAAACUCAAGAAAUAUCUGAGGUUCUUGUCUCCAAAACGGCUUCCGUGUUUACCUUCCAAGUAAACAGCCUCCAUGUAUAUAUUUCUGGCAGAGUUUUGAGUGCAUACAGCUGCUAACAAACAGGAGAGCUCAGCCAAAUCUAAAGGUGUUAAGAGGAAGUUUCAUUAUUUCAUUUGGAACGAGUGGGCAGAGGAUAUAUUGGCUCUGUGUGAAGUAAGGAUGAUUGAAUGUGACCAGGAAAUGGCCAAACAACAUGAACAUUUAAAAGAAGUCAUCUAAAAUAGGCUCACUGGGGCAUUAGGAAAAAACUUGAUUUUUUUUUAACCCAAAUGCCCAGAAUCUUUUAAUUCAAAAUCGUUAUGGAUAGGACCAACUGUAGUUAGUGUCAUCAGGUGUUUGUGAAUGAAACACUUCAAUCUUCUUGUCUGAACACAUUGGUCAUGAUCUCUAUUUUUUGUUUUACUUUUUAGAGCAACAUCUUGGAGGAGGAGUUUGCUUCUGCUUCAUCCUAGUGAGGGAAGCCACAUACGCUGAGCUGCAGCUUGGAAAAAAUGAUAAAAGCAGCUCCUCGAUGACCAUCUCCCAUCACAGUGCGUGGGUCUACAUAGCAACCUCUCAAGCUGCACAAGAGAAUGAACAGGCUUAAGGUCCACAGAGGACCAUUACUUAGAAGAAUUAUAUUUGUAUAGUGUUUUGUAAUGUGCAAAGGAAUUUUAUAGGCAUUGUCUCAUUUAAACAUGAAACCUUUUGCUGAAAUAUUCUCUGCUUGAUAGGUGAAGACACUGAGGUUCAGAGAGUUGAAGAUAGAUUACUAAGAUCACAAAGCAUUAUUUUAGAGAAGUGAAAGAUUUAUUCUUUAAAACUGAGUGUAGUAAUGCUGUUUGUUUUACUACAUGUAUUUAGGUGCUAUUAACAACCAUCUUAAAUUGAUGUUAAGGCCAUCUCUGUUUAAAUGAUUUGCAGGUAUUAUGUUUUGGUUCACUACCUGUAUAUUUUUACUUGCAUACCUUAACCUUUUAUCAACCAGGUUAUUACUUUUUUAUUUUUUAGAAAUUCUUAGUGAUAAUUAUCUUUUGGUAAAUCAACACUGCAAACACUUCCAACAAAAUCAGAAAUUCGAUUAAGUUAAAUGUAAAUACUCUGUGGCUAAAUUGAUAUAGAUAUUGCAUUAUAGUUUUCCCCUCUCUUUGAAUUUUGUUCCAUAAUUUAUUGAUUUUUACCUUAGUUAUUCUAUAUUUUCUCUAGUUUUGUGGGAAUUUACAUAUAUGUUUCUUACUAUCCAGAUUAUUUCAACUAUCCAUAAUUUCAACAACUAAAUUGUCAUUUAGGAACUUGAAAAACUUUAUAAUAAUUUUUUUUGUAUAUCAUAAAAAAUUUUACAUAAAAUCUAACCAUUUAUUGACAUUGAUCGAAGUUCUUAAAAAAAUGUUCUUUUCUGUGGCAAAUUGUUCAUGACUCUGUAAUGUUUCAGUAAGAACACUGCAUCUUUGAAUCAUUGUGAUCAUCAGGAAAGGUGUGAGAUUUGUGAAGAUCUAAAUAAAUCUGACAAGUAAAAACA
Molecule: long non-coding RNA, 2924 nt
Organism: Felis catus (domestic cat)
Lineage: Eukaryota; Metazoa; Chordata; Mammalia; Carnivora; Felidae
Exons: 3
Source: RefSeq, a predicted model, not a curated record